This 63-nucleotide transfer RNA is filed under the name Monosporozyma servazzii. RNAcentral describes it as "Kazachstania servazzii partial transfer RNA". The record is from RNAcentral. Lineage: Eukaryota; Fungi; Ascomycota; Saccharomycetes; Saccharomycetales; Saccharomycetaceae.
CCGGAAUCGANCCGGGGGCCCAACGAUGGCAACGUUGGAUUUUACCACAUAAACCACUUGCGC